Molecule: long non-coding RNA, 3250 nt
Organism: Phyllostomus discolor (pale spear-nosed bat)
Lineage: Eukaryota; Metazoa; Chordata; Mammalia; Chiroptera; Phyllostomidae
Exons: 2
Source: RefSeq, a predicted model, not a curated record
UUCCCCUCUCUCUAAAAUUAAUGAAAACAUAUCCUUGGAUGAGGAUUAAAAAAACUUUAAACCUGGAUUUACUGUUUUGUGAGCAUACAUUUCUUUAUAUUUUCUCUUUCCCAACAUUUGUUUUUCCUUUUUUCUCUCUAGCUGCCUCUUCGAGAAAUUCUUAGUUUCUCAAUGUUUUAUGUUAAAUAUCCAACAUGUAGUACUAACUACAUAAAUACUAGUUUCUCUAGUCAUCCGACUUCUGGUUCAGGCAGUUACUCGGGAUGUUUUGUACUAAACUUUUUUAAAGAGAGCUUUCAUUUUGGAGUAAUUUUAGAUUACGGGCAAGUUGCAAAAAUAGUGCAGAGUUCUUGUACACCCUUUACCCAGUUUCAGUUUCCCCGAUGCAUUGCCCUGUGGGACAUUUGUCAGAACGGCCGUCUCCGUCGGCACAUUAUUGUUAACUGAACACCAGACUGCAUGCAGACCGCACUGGCUCAUCUGUUAAUGUCCUCUUCGGUUCCUGUGUCCAGUCCACAACACCACGUUGCACUCGGUCGUCCAGUCUCCUUCGUGUCCUCUCGUCUCCGGCAGAUUCUCAGUCUCUCCUUGUCUUUCAUGACCUUGGCAGUUUGAAGGAGUACUGGGAAGGUGUUUUGUAGAAUGUUCCUCAGACUGACUUUGUUGGAAGUAUUAUUGGGUAUCCAGAAUUAGACCGGAGUUGCGUGUUUGCAGAAAGAUUAACGCAGAGGCACAGUGCGCCUCUCAUCGCUUAUCUGUGGGCAUGUGAGGGCCACGUGCUGGCACCAGUGAUACGAGCUAGCCUGCAGAAGUGUGCCCCGAUCGGAAGGGCACAGUUCAGUGAGUUAUGAUGUGAACACACCCGCUGCGGCACCCUCCAAGUCAAGAGGUUGAACAACAGUCUAUACCCAGAACCCUCCCUUUUUCUCAGGGGUAACCGCCCUCCUGAUGGCUAAUAUCACUGAGUAGUUUUCUCUCUUUUUGAUCUAAUCAUAUGAUUAAGUAUGUGUUUUUUGUGAAUUAUUUCCUUUUUUGUGAGAUUCAACUGUGUUGUCUGUAACAGUGGUUUAUUUUUGUUGCCGUGUGGUGCUCUGUUAUAUGAGUAGACUACAUAUUAUAUGUUUAUUCUACGGUUGAUGGGUAUUUGGGUUAUUUCUAGUUUUGGGCUAUUACAUAUAAUGCCAGUGUAAAAGAAUUGUAAAUAAUACAAAUGUAAAUCAUUUUUGGUGUACAUACAAGCAUAUUUCUAUCAGGUAAAUACCUAGGAUUGAGUUUGCUGGGUUAUAGAGUGUACUUAUAUAUUAAAUUUAAAAAACUGUUAUUUUUUCAAAGUGGUUCUGUAAUAGAGUAGGUCACAGCAUAGACAGCGCUGGCAGUGUGACUUGUGGAAUAGCCUGGGGUACAGAUGGGGAGCUCAUACAGCAUCUGUGUGAGGUGCGGGGCCAGAUGCCCAUGCUGGAUGCCUGUGAAUGGCUGGAAACUCUUGCCCUGACUAGAGAUGGCAGCCUGAAGAGGGUCAGAGACCCUGGGGAGCUGCAAAAAUGAUGGACAUUAAUGCACCAUAGAAGACCGGAUAUUCAGCCACGCAGGAAAUUCUGAGCCGAGGCUUUAAAAUUGUAGCACUCGGAGAAACACAAGCUCAGUCUAUCGUAGGUCUGUCUGUUUGGAGGUCUGGAGGUCCAUUGGAAACACCCUCAGUGCCCUUCCUACACAGAAGACAGCGGCAGAGCUGGUGGUGCUGUGGGGGACCAGCCUGGCCCAGCACACAGACACACUGGUGAGCUGCUGGCUGGAGUAAAGGCAGCUCUGGAGGAGAGACACCGAUGCUGUGAGAGGGACUCAGGCCGGUGCACACAGACUCCUGAAAGAUGCUUGGAACUGAACUGUGACCGGGAAUGCUGAGCUGCAGACUUCUGCAUUUCUGAAGGAUAGUGCUUUUGAAUGGCCUGUUCUGAAACUGGUCUGGCUUGGCAGAGGGAAGCAGGGCUUCUUUUGGGGGUGUUUCUAUAGAGAAUGGGACUUAGCAGCAAGGCUCUCACUCUCUCAUGCACUAGGUAUAGGGACUCUUGGUAUGGGACUUUGGAGUUUGGUACAAGCUCUCUCCCUCUGGCUUUGGCAUUUGGAUAUUCUGGACUUCUGGCCCUGCUUUCCACAAAGAUGGGAGCACUUGUGGAAACAGGAGAUGUGGGGCCCACCAGGGCCUUAGACCCCAAAGAGGAGGGAAGCCCACUCCUGGAGGCAGGGUCCCAUGCAGGGACAUGUGCCUCCCUUGGGUUCCAGCACCUGGGACACUGUCAUCCAGUGCAGCACGGCACAUGGUUUUCGGAUGGCUUCAUGGAGGAGGCUGGGAGCAGCGCACCCCAGACCCUGAAGGAGAGAGCUGCUGCGAGAGGAUGGCGACUCUGAAACCCACAGGUGCACAUGCCGGAGAGGAUGGAGAUCUUUGUGUGAGACCUGCUUAAGGACAGAUGAGGAAAUGGAGAACUUCUAGGUGUGGUUUUGGCUUGCAGCCUUUUGGGGAACAAGGGCAGUUCUGGGUCUUGUGGGAGACAAGGGCUCCGAGCAGGGAGGGCUCUCAGCCCCUCCAGGUUUGGAACCCUGUUAAUAAAAACCUGUUUUCUUCGACACGAGUUGUUGGGUCACAUAGAUUCAAGGUGCCAGGUGGCUGAAACCCAAAUUUGCAUGGUUACAGUUCUGCCACUUUACAUUCCUACAAGCACUUUAAUGUCAUUCUUUGUGUUUUAGCCUUUUUAAUGGUGUGUAGUGCUGUUUUAAUUUGCAUUUCCUGGAGCAUGUAGUAGACUAAUGAAGGUUUUAUUUCUAGCUUUCCAAUCUUUGUCAUUUUUUUUUUUUCCUACCUUAUCGCACUGGGUAGGGCCUUUGGUACAGUGUUGCAUAAAUAGGAUGGUGGUGCGCACCCAUAUCUUUCUGGUUGCAGGAAGAAAGCUUUCAACAUUUCUCCUUUAGAGACAGUGUUUGCUGUAGGUUUUUUGUAGAUACUUUAUCAAAUUGAAGAAAGUACCUUCUGCUAGUAGUUUAAGGAGAGAAUUUUAGGAGCAUUAUUUACAACAGCCAAGAGUUGGAAACAGACUAAGUGCCCAUCCGUAGAUGAGUUGAUUAAAGAACCGUGGUACAUUUGCAAAAUGGAAUACUGCAUGGCAGGAAAAAAGAAGGAAUUCCUACCUUUUGUGACAGCAUGAAUGAAACUGGAGACUAUUGUGCUAAGUGAAAUAAGCCAAUCGAUGAAAGA